Molecule: ribosomal RNA, 468 nt
Filed under: uncultured bacterium
Lineage: Bacteria
Description: partial 16S ribosomal RNA
Rfam family: Bacterial small subunit ribosomal RNA
Source: RNAcentral
AACGAACGCUGGCGGCGUGCUUAACACAUGCAAGUCGAACGGAAACGUCCUGCUUUGUUGGGGUGCUCGAGUUGCGAACGGGUAAGUAACACGUGAGUAACCUGCCCUUGACUUUGGGAUAACUUCAUGAAACUGGGUCUAAUACCGCCUAGGAGCUCCUGCUGCAUGGUGGGGGUUGGAAAGUUUCGGCGGUUGGGGAUGGACUCGCCGCUCAUCAGAUUGUUCGUUUGGUAGUGGCUGACCAUGGCUUUGACGGGUAGCCGGGCUGCGCGGGGCACCGGACAAAUCGGGACUGGGAUACGGCACGGACCCCAACGGGAGGCAGCAGUGGGGAAUGUAGCACAAUGGGAUGAGGCCUGAUCUAGCAAAGCAAUGUGCGGGAUGACAGCAUGCCGGUAGUAUACCGCUUUCGUCUGUGACGGGACGUGAAUGACGGUACUGGGAAAAUAAGCACCGGCUAACUCCGUG